Molecule: long non-coding RNA, 334 nt
Organism: Mastomys coucha (southern multimammate mouse)
Lineage: Eukaryota; Metazoa; Chordata; Mammalia; Rodentia; Muridae
Exons: 2
Source: RefSeq, a predicted model, not a curated record
GUUAAGAACAGGGAAGCUGAGCUCCAGACAGACUAAGCUAAGUAUGGGUCCAAGGCCAUAUGCAGAGGAAAGAGGUAGGUGUUCCAUUUAACUCAAGACUGUUUCCUUAGCUCCUAAACCAGGCAUAACACAGGCCACAAACAUCUACUCUGAAGAGGCGGCCAGUGGUUACGGAUGUCGUUUAGCUGCAUCCAGGUGGUGAAGGUGGAGGACCAAGCAUUCACGGUCAUCCUUACAAGCUUAAGAUCAACCUGGAUUGUAUGAGCCUCACCGGUCCAAUAAAAAAGGAAGUGGGAGAGGGGAAGAGAGAGAAAGUAAAUAGUGUCAAGAAAGA